RNAcentral lists this ribosomal RNA (301 nucleotides) under uncultured bacterium. RNAcentral describes it as "partial 16S ribosomal RNA". It matches the Rfam family "Archaeal small subunit ribosomal RNA", at positions 459 to 759 of the family's 1478-position model. The record is from RNAcentral.
CAGCCGCCACGGUAACACCAGCAGCCCAAGUGGUGGUCGCGAUUAUUGGGCCUAAAGCGCUCGUAGCCGGGCCGGUAAGUCCCUUGUGAAAUCGGACGGCCUAACCGUUCGGCGUGCAAGGGAUACUGUCGGUCUUGAGGCCGGGAGACGUCCGAGGUACUCCGGGGGUAGCGGUGAAAUGUUCUAAUCCUCGGGGGACCACCGGUGGCGAAGGCGUUCGACGAGAACGGGCCUGACGGUGAGGGGCGAAGGCUAGGGGAGCAAACGGGAUUAGAUACCCCCGUAGUCCCUGUCUCUUAUU